UUUUGUAUGUGUUCGUAUCCCUGCAGGUAGCGCGGUUCCUUCGUCAAGGACUGCCUUUUUGCCCUUGAGCAUCCCAAACCCUAACCCUUCAUUGAUUUUUCUUCUCCAUAACACACGUUUACUCCUUCUACUACAGGCGAGUAAGUCUCCAAAGGUCGAGCAUCCGGUAGAUUGCGUAGUAACGUCGUUCGUCCAAAACCC
Molecule: long non-coding RNA, 201 nt
Filed under: Lathyrus oleraceus (garden pea)
Lineage: Eukaryota; Viridiplantae; Streptophyta; Magnoliopsida; Fabales; Fabaceae
Description: Pisum sativum (pea) long non-coding RNA (PSAT_LNC010150)
Source: RNAcentral